This 215-nucleotide unclassified non-coding RNA is filed under the name Hevea brasiliensis (rubber tree). The record is from RNAcentral. Lineage: Eukaryota; Viridiplantae; Streptophyta; Magnoliopsida; Malpighiales; Euphorbiaceae.
GUCCAGAAUGAGGUGGGUCAAAUCCAUAAGGUACAUGAGCAGCAGCUGGUCUUUCACUUCCAAGAAGCUGAGACCCUUUUCUGUAGGAUAGGCACCAGCUUGAACUUUUUGUGUCAGUGAUUUCACUUGUGCAGUUACAGCCAUCACUUGCUCCUGGAGAUUUUUCAGAAGUGUCACGGCACUUGGCAGGUCGGACUCCAGCACCCCCAGCGCCG